This 337-nucleotide unclassified non-coding RNA is filed under the name soil metagenome. RNAcentral describes it as "partial contains 5.8S ribosomal RNA, internal transcribed spacer 2, and large subunit ribosomal RNA". The stretch from base 1 to 120 matches the Rfam family "5.8S ribosomal RNA", at positions 35 to 154 of the family's 154-position model. The record is from RNAcentral.
GAUGAAGAACGUAGCGAAAUGCGAUAAGUAGUGUGAAUUGCAGAAUUCAGUGAAUCAUCGAAUCUUUGAACGCACAUUGCGCCCCAUGGUAUUCCGUGGGGCAUGCCUGUUCGAGCGUCAUUUACCCCCUCAAGCUCCGCUUGGUGUUAGGCGUCUGUCCCGCUUCGCGCGCGGACUCGCCCCAAAGGUAUUGGCAGCGGUCGUGCCAGCUUCUCGCGCAGCACAUUGCGCUUCUCGAGGCACCGGUGGGCCCGCGUCCAUCAAGCUCACCCCCCCAGUUUGACCUCGGAUCAGGUAGGGAUACCCGCUGAACUUAAGCAUAUCAAUAAGCGGAGGA